AAAUUGAAGAGUUUGAUCAUGGCUCAGAUUGAACGCUGGCGGCAGGCCUAACACAUGCAAGUCGAACGGUAACAGGAAGCAGCUUGCUGCUUUGCUGACGAGUGGCGGACGGGUGAGUAAUGUCUGGGAAACUGCCUGAUGGAGGGGGAUAACUACUGGAAACGGUGGCUAAUACCGCAUAACGUCGCAAGACCAAAGAGGGGGACCUUCGGGCCUCUUGCCAUCAGAUGUGCUCUUGCCAUCAGAUGUGC
RNAcentral lists this ribosomal RNA (251 nucleotides) under Salmonella enterica. RNAcentral's name for it is "partial 16S ribosomal RNA". It matches the Rfam family "Bacterial small subunit ribosomal RNA", at positions 1 to 230 of the family's 1533-position model. Lineage: Bacteria; Pseudomonadati; Pseudomonadota; Gammaproteobacteria; Enterobacterales; Enterobacteriaceae. The record is from RNAcentral.